CCUCCCCUGUGUCCCCCCCCCCCCAAGGCCUUCCCCGGUCCCAGGGUGGCCACACAUCCCCGCCCACGGAAAGUGCCAAGAGGCGGGAGGUGCUGCAAAACUUGAGCUCCGUCAAAGGAGCACGGGGGGCGGGGGGGUGGGGGGAUGUCCGACCCCCAGCUCCCAGCCUCUCCCUCCCCGCGGGCAGCCCCCCGAAGGGGAUACUGCCGGCCGGGAUCCGGGCCUGCAACCGAGGAUGCUUCCGGCCAUGGGGGUGCACUGCCCCUGCACGAUUUGCAGAAACUCACUUUCCCACUCCAGCGCGGCCCCCCCGGGAUGGAGGGAUGCCGAUGGGGAGGGGGCCGUGCUGGUCCCCUGUCCCCCGGUCCCGCUCCAAGCGUCCCACAUCCAUCCCGGGAGAGGGGGGCGGCGGCACGGAAGGCACCGGGGAGCUGCAAAGGGAGGCAGGAGGACGGAGGGAGCGGGAGGAGGGGACGGGGGAAGAGGCGGGGAGCGAGGACGGGGGGGGGUCCCCGUGCUUGCUGGCUCCGCCCCUCCCGCCUCCCUCCCUGCUUCCAGGCGGGCGCUUUCCUCUCCACGAGCUCCCCGCCCUUCGGAGGAGGAAAGCGGCGGCGGCGGCGGGCUCCGCCUUUCCCGCCCGCCGGAGCCCACCGGGCCCCACGGGGGCUGGAGGGACGCGGCCCCUCCGCUCUGCACCUGCCCGUCGCCGAGGACCGAACCGCGGAGCCCCGGGAGAGGGGAGCCUGAGCGCGCGCGGAAUUCCCACGCCUCCCGGGAGAGGGGAGCCUGCGCGCGCGCCGAAUUCCCACGCCUUCCCACCCGGCCCGGGAAAAGGGAGCCUGCGCCCGCUCCGAAUUCCCACCCCUUCCCACCCGGCCCGGGAGAGGGGAACCUGCGCGCGCGCGCGCGGAAUUCCCACGCUUCCCCCACCCGGCCCGGGAAAAGGGGGGUGGGGGUCUUCCCCGCGCCCCUCCCCGUCCGAAGAAAAGUCUCUGACGCCCCCAAAGACGAAGCCUCCAGCUCGGGCACUUCAAUUAGAGGUGCUGGACCGCUUAUUGGGCUCAUGGAUCCCACAGAACUGAUCCCGUAG
Molecule: long non-coding RNA, 1090 nt
Filed under: Ornithorhynchus anatinus (platypus)
Lineage: Eukaryota; Metazoa; Chordata; Mammalia; Monotremata; Ornithorhynchidae
Description: lncRNA (ENSOANG00000042224.1)
Source: RNAcentral